This 278-nucleotide ribosomal RNA is filed under the name uncultured Sphingobacteriales bacterium. RNAcentral describes it as "partial 16S ribosomal RNA". It matches the Rfam family "Bacterial small subunit ribosomal RNA", at positions 1105 to 1382 of the family's 1533-position model. The record is from RNAcentral. Lineage: Bacteria; Pseudomonadati; Bacteroidota; Sphingobacteriia; Sphingobacteriales.
UUAUCGUUAGUUGCCAUCUGGUAAAGCAGGGGACUCUAGCGAAACUGCCACCGUAAGGUGAGAGGAAGGUGGGGAUGACGUCAAAUCAGCGCGGCCCUUAUGUCCAGGGCUACACACGUGUUACAAUGGCCGGUACAGAGGGCAGCUACCUGGUGACAGGAUGCUAAUCUCGAAAACCGGUCUCAGUUCGGAUCGAAGUCUGCAACUCGACUUCGUGAAGCUGGAUUCGCUAGUAAUCGCGCAUCAGCCAUGGCGCGGUGAAUACGUUCCCGGGCCUU